AUUGCUUCUCGGCCUUUUGUCUAAGAUCAAGUGUAGUAUCUGUUCUUAUGAGUUUAAUAUCUCCUCUAUCUGAGAACAGAUAGAACAUUAAAUGGAGUUUUGGAGGUGGAAGAUGGAAUAUGAGCUUGUUCUGUCCACUCCACACAUCAACCUGGUACUGUAGUACCUCCAGGAAUGGUGUGCCUCCU
Small nuclear RNA from Octodon degus (degu), 188 nucleotides. Its record names the gene U2. It matches the Rfam family "U2 spliceosomal RNA". From Rfam's summary of the family: U2 is a small nuclear RNA (snRNA) component of the spliceosome (involved in pre-mRNA splicing). Complementary binding between U2 snRNA (in an area lying towards the 5' end but 3' to hairpin I) and the branchpoint sequence (BPS) of the intron results the bulging out of an unpaired adenosine, on the BPS, which initiates a nucleophilic attack at the intronic 5' splice site, thus starting the first of two transesterification reactions that mediate splicing. Lineage: Eukaryota; Metazoa; Chordata; Mammalia; Rodentia; Octodontidae. The record is from Ensembl.